GGAAGGAUCAUUAAUUGAAUGAACAUGUUUCUCUGCAUGACAUUUCAAACCCCACCUGUGUAUCUUUCCUGUUGCUUCCGUGCUGCACAUGCUGCAAAGGUGUGCCUCUCCUGGUCUGGAGUUACCGCCGAGUACUUUGGACCCUGGGGUGGAGUCGGCACGGAAGGUCUACCGCAAACUCGUGUCGUGCAAUGCCUUCUGUCUGAACUGUAGCACAAUAAAAGUUAAAACUUUCAACAACGGAUCUCUUGGUUCUCGCAUCGAUGAAGAACGCAGCGAAAUGCGAUAAGUAGUGUGAAUUGCAGAAUUCCGUGAAUCAUCGAAUCUUUGAACGCACAUUGCGCCUCCUGGUAGUCCGGGAGGCAUGCCUGUUUGAGCGUCACCAAAUCCAACUCAAGCGGUUUUGCGCUUGGUCGUGGCGGAAGAGUCGGUCUGGUUGCCGUCUCCCCUCCGAAAAUCAACGGCGGAAAGUCACUGGCAGUCAGCGUAGUAGUAUCGUUCGCCGAACAUCCAGUGGCAUUCCUGCCGACGUACCCCCACAAUUCUCGUGAUUGACCUCGGAUCAGG
Molecule: ribosomal RNA, 567 nt
Filed under: uncultured fungus
Lineage: Eukaryota; Fungi
Description: eukaryotic LSU rRNA
Rfam family: 5.8S ribosomal RNA (bases 229-382)
Source: RNAcentral